CAAAAGUAUUCUGUUAACCUCAAAUCGCUUUCUUCCUAAACAAGUUAUCUUUCGUUUGUGUUUUAUUUUGUGUGUGUGUUACCUUAAACGACUUCGCUUUCCGCCACAGCUUUCUUGAUGUCGUCCCUAUUCACUGACCUCCUCAGAGAUCCUAUUGUCGCCUUAGGUCCUUUCCAGCAGAUCUCCACUGUCAAUCUCUCCUUCUCCAGUGAGCCUACCCAACCUUCCAGUUUCCUCACAGAUUGCUUCACGUCGUAUUUCCUCGUUACUAGCAGCGGCCAUAGCACAAAAAUGAAUUUUCCUGAUAUAAACAUGGAAGGAGAUUCGAAUAGAGAAAGACAAAUUUCUAAAGACGACACUUUGAUCCGUGAAGAAGAAAAUAUACCUAUGCGGAGUUUUGAGGAGAUAAUCUUACGAGGAAG
Molecule: long non-coding RNA, 422 nt
Filed under: Brassica rapa (field mustard)
Lineage: Eukaryota; Viridiplantae; Streptophyta; Magnoliopsida; Brassicales; Brassicaceae
Description: long non-coding RNA (BRAP_LNC000948)
Source: RNAcentral